This 253-nucleotide ribosomal RNA is filed under the name uncultured bacterium. Its description in RNAcentral is "partial 16S ribosomal RNA". It matches the Rfam family "Bacterial small subunit ribosomal RNA", at positions 524 to 776 of the family's 1533-position model. The record is from RNAcentral.
UACGUAGGGAGCAAGCGUUGUCCGGAAUCAUUGGGCGUAAAGCGCGCGUAGGUGGCCCGGUAAGUCCGCUCUGAAAGUCACAGGCUCAACCUGUGAAAGCGGGUGGAUACUGCCGGGCUAGAGUCCGGAAGAGGCGAGUGGAAUUCCUGGUGUAGCGGUGAAAUGCGCAGAUAUCAGGAGGAACACCGAUGGCGAAGGCAGCUCGCUGGGACGGUACUGACGCUGAGGCGCGAAAGCGUGGGGAGCAAACAGG